This 668-nucleotide unclassified non-coding RNA is filed under the name Nilaparvata lugens (brown planthopper). RNAcentral's name for it is "uncharacterized LOC120353992, transcript variant X2". Lineage: Eukaryota; Metazoa; Arthropoda; Insecta; Hemiptera; Delphacidae. The record is from RNAcentral.
CUUCGGCUUGUCACUUGUCGCCAUCUUGAUGUUUCUUCCUGCUACAUGAAGGUGUUGUUGUUCGAAGUGGAUACUCGUCUGCGAAUUAAGUUUAUUGUUGGCGUUCGUCUGCGCAGUACGCCCUCAUGAAUCGUGAGAUUUCUGCCAUGCGGCGCUCCACGGGGUUCGAACUAGGAGAAUAUGUGGAAGUUCGAGAUAUUUUUAUAUCAGCCAGGUCAAGUAUUCUUUUCCAUGGUUUGCUACAAAAAUAUGAUGCAUUAUCUGAUAGGAUGCGCUUAGGUUUUCCUACUUGCGGAGUCCACUUAUUCACUAUGCAAUUUGCUAGGACUUCCCCUGUUAGCUUACCGAUGGGAAAGAACAUGGUGUAUUUAGAGAAUGUGCAUGUUAAUACGAAUAUAUAUUUCUUCCCAUGUUGUGCUAGGGGUAGAGGACCAUAAAUGUCGGCUGAUACUAACUCCAAUGGGGCGGUCGGCAAUAUAGGUAUCAUUGCUCCCCUGACUUGAUAUUUUAAAUGUUUGGUUUUCUGACAUAGGUCGCAUGCUCUUAACACUUUGACUACCUUUUUGUGCAUACCUUUCAGAUAACAGGCUUCUUUUAGUGUACAUAUCGUUUUUCUUACUCCAAAGUGGCCAAUUCUCUCAUGCGUUUCCUUAAUCACUUCUUCCGCU